UUAUCCGGAAUUAUUGGGCGUAAAGCGUCUGUAGGUUGCCUAACAAGUCUAUUGUUAAAGGUUAGAGCUUAACUCUAAAACUGCAGUAGAAACUGUUAGGCUUGAGUACAGUCGAAGUAGAGGGAAUUUCCAGUGAAGCGGUGAAAUGCGUAGAUAUUGGAAGGAACACCAAUGGCGAAGGCACUCUAUUAGACUUUUACUGACACUCAGAGACGAAAGCUAGGGUAGCAAAUGGGAUUAGAUACCCCAGUAGUCCUAGCCGUAAACGAUGGAUACUAAACAUUGCGUGCAUCGAUCCGCGUGGUGUUAUAGCUAACGCGUUAAGUAUCCCGCCUGGGGAGUAUGCUCGCAAGGGUGAAACUCAAAGGAAUUGACGGGGGCCCGCACAAGCGGUGGAGCAUGUGGUUUAAUUUGAUGCAACGCGAAGAACCUUGCCAGGGUUUGACAUGGUGUUAAUUCUUUGAAAAAAGAAGUACCGUUCGCGGUAGACACACACAGGUGGUGCAUGGCUGUCGUCAGCUCGCGUCGUGAGAUGUUGGGUUAAGUCCCGCAACGAGCGCAACCCUUGUUUUUAGUUACAAGUAAUCUAAAAAGACUACCGGUUAUAAACCGGAGGAAGGUGGGGACGACGUCAA
RNAcentral lists this ribosomal RNA (635 nucleotides) under uncultured marine pelagophyte. Its description in RNAcentral is "bacterial SSU rRNA". It matches the Rfam family "Bacterial small subunit ribosomal RNA", at positions 541 to 1188 of the family's 1533-position model. The record is from RNAcentral. Lineage: Eukaryota; Pelagophyceae.